This 18-nucleotide small nuclear RNA is filed under the name Arabidopsis thaliana (thale cress). Its description in RNAcentral is "snRNA_12473". Lineage: Eukaryota; Viridiplantae; Streptophyta; Magnoliopsida; Brassicales; Brassicaceae. The record is from RNAcentral.
AUCCUAACUUCGUAGCCU